This is a non-coding RNA of Idiomarina sp., 71 nucleotides long. The record is from Rfam. NCBI's taxonomy places the organism in Bacteria, Pseudomonadati, Pseudomonadota, Gammaproteobacteria, Alteromonadales, Idiomarinaceae.
GGCGGGUUGGCAGAAUGGCUAUGCAGCGGAUUGCAAAUCCGUGGAUCUCGGUUCGACUCCGGGACCCGCCU